GAGUAUUAUUAGAUAUAAUCUUUAAACUUAAAGAAUUUGGCGGUAUUAUAGUCUAUUUAGAGGAAUCUGUUAUAUAAUCGAUAAUCCACGUUGAACCUUACUUAUAUAAAUUCUUGUAUACCGCUGUUUAAGAAUAUACUUUUAGGUAAAUUUUCAAAAUAUAAUAAUAAUUAAUAUUUCAAGUCAAGGUGCAGUUAUAUAUAAGUUGAGUAAUGGAUUACAAUAAAAUUUAUUUAUUACGGAUUUAUUAUUAUAAUAAUAAUUUGAAGGUGGAUUUAAAUGUAAUUUUAUAUAGAUUAUUAAAAUGAUUUUUAGCCCUAUAAUAUGU
Molecule: ribosomal RNA, 328 nt
Filed under: Alangularis multilobata
Lineage: Eukaryota; Metazoa; Arthropoda; Insecta; Mantodea; Mantidae
Description: partial 12S ribosomal RNA
Source: RNAcentral